AUGUCUGUGAGCUCCUAACUAAAUAUA
Molecule: non-coding RNA, 27 nt
Filed under: Mus musculus (house mouse)
Lineage: Eukaryota; Metazoa; Chordata; Mammalia; Rodentia; Muridae
Source: RNAcentral